This 465-nucleotide ribosomal RNA is filed under the name uncultured bacterium. RNAcentral describes it as "partial 16S ribosomal RNA". It matches the Rfam family "Bacterial small subunit ribosomal RNA", at positions 28 to 507 of the family's 1533-position model. The record is from RNAcentral.
GACGAACGCUGGCGGCGUGCUUAACACAUGCAAGUCGAACGGAAAGGCCCCCUUGUGGGGUACUCGAGUGGCGAACGGGUGAGUAACACGUGAGUAACCUACCCUUGACUUUUGGAUAACUUCAGGAAACUGGGGCUAAUACCGGAUAGGAGCUCCUGCUGCACGGUGGGGGUUGGAAAGUUUUGGCGGUUGGGGAUGGACUCGCGGCUUAUCAGCUUGUUGGUGGGGUAGUGGCUCACCAAGGCUUUGACGGGUAGCCGGCCUGAGAGGGUGACCGGCCACAAUGGGACUGCGAGACGGCCCAGACUCCUACGGGAGGCAGCAGUGGGGAAUAUUGCACAGUGAGCGGAAGCCUGAUGCAGCAGCGCCGCGUGCGGGAUGACGGCCUUCGGGUUGUAAACCGCUUUCGCCUGUGACGAAGCGUGAGUGACGGUAAUGGGUAAAGAAGCACCGGCUAACUACGUG